Molecule: long non-coding RNA, 9176 nt
Organism: Daucus carota subsp. sativus
Lineage: Eukaryota; Viridiplantae; Streptophyta; Magnoliopsida; Apiales; Apiaceae
Exons: 3
Source: RefSeq, a predicted model, not a curated record
CCAGUUUUAUUAAUUGCAUAUAAAAUAAAUAAGAAUAUUAUCAUUUGUCGGUGUGAGAAUUUAUCGGAGAAUAUUUAUUAAAUAAUUAAGUUCCGGAAUGAUCGCUUCGAUAAUAUUAAAAAUCACGAGAAUUAGUAAAUUAAACUAGCAAGUGGAUUUAAGAUUUCUUGGUGCCCAAGUAACGAAACUUGGUGCCCAAGAAACUCUACUUGGUGACCAAGUAACCAAUAGCACUAAUCUAAAAAAAAUAGAUUGGAGGUUAGUGUGGUAAUUAGUCAUAAUUACAAUUAAAAGAAUUUUUAUAAAAUCCAAGAACAAGAUUACUACAAAGAUUUUGGCUAAAAAGAGAAGAGAUAUUAGAGAUUUGUGUUGCAGAAGAAAAGAGGAGAAGAAGCUAAAUUCUUAAAAGCUUUACAAGACAGUAAAGGACCGAAAAUGGCACAAAUGAGAAGGAUAAUUCGGAAGCACAUAACAGCAAAGUCAAGGGCAAAGCGUGAGGCUGUGGCAACGAAGGGUGCGAAGACUUGUUCCCGUAACGAGGAUGUUUUAUGAUUAUAACAAUGGUAGAUUGUACUUUUGAACUUAUCGUUGUAAUGUUAUGAUAGACUGCGUGGAAGUGUAAGAUCGACCUUGGACUUGUGGGGCGAGUUAUGUAUUAUUGGAAGUCAGGUUUGCUAAAAUAAUGUGACGGCCUAGAUCCAGGAUAUACGGAUCUGGGGGCGUUACAGAUUUGGUAUCAGAGCUGAGGUUAUAUUCUUAGGACACGGGAACCCUAGGAAUAUAACGAGAGAGUGAGAAAAUAAUACGAGAAAUAAGAUUUAAGUAUGUGAUAGUUAUACAUCUACGAGAGCAGGCAAGGGUAUAUACGAAACCCGAAACUCUUUAGUGGGACAUUAAACCCCAUACUUAUGAAUACAUAUACGUAUAUACAAGUAUCUUUAAGAUGAGAAAAUUACGAUGGCAUCGUUUAAUUACCUGUGAAGAUGAUAGUAGCUAGUUCUCUUCGAGGAUGCUCUUCUACACCCAAUACUUAUGAGUGCUCAGAUUGUAAUAUGGGUAGUGCCGCAUCAAAGGGAAAUUAUGAUUACUGAUAGUAAUUCAGAAGACACGACUAUUCAAAUCAUUGAGCCUUCACCACUUGAGACUAUAGAGGUUUGGUAACCUACUAGUUACCCAGUAUUUAUUUCUAUGCCAGAGAGAUAGGCAUCAAAUUUACCUUAUAAAAUUUUGCUAGAAAUAACCCUUACACUAUUAUUGACUACCUAGAUAGCUACCCCUAUCUUCUAUUCAUUCGUUGUUCGUAUCAGAGGGUAGAGAUGAUCAGUGACUGUCGAAUAUACUUAGACACUUUUACCUAAUUCUUCCAAAGGCUAAUUCAUUUUCUUAUGAUUCCAUUAUGAUGCCGAUUUUCAAUCGGUAUCAAUUCAAGUUCCAUACCUUUAUCAACACCAUUUCUAUUGGUGAGAUUCUUUGAUCAUCUUUUGCAAAUUUCCAUUCGAUAUAUUCCAAUAUCAAGCCAAAAGCUCGAGUAUCACAGCCAGAGACCUCUACCUCAAGGGCUUCUGUUUCUAUCUCAUAUAAUAUAAAAAUACCAAUCUUUCUAUUACAAGGUUUCUUCUUUUCUACCUGAAAACCCUUUAAUUUCAGUAUCAAUUCCUACAACAAACUCAGCACCAGUGUUUAUUCUAACACCAAUAAAGUUCCAGUUUCUUUUUAUGCUCCAUAUGUUGGGAGCGAUGCAGUGCCACUCUCAGCACAGUUAAUAUCUGCACAACAGUAUGAGAUGCUAGCAAAGUAUUACCUUGAGUUUAAAGUUUUCAUGACGUACUGUUGUGGAUAUGAGAAUUAUAUAAUUCUGUAAUUGUUCAAGAGAGCCGGAUUUUUGGCCCGCGAAAUUAUGGCAAAGGAAUCUAUCGAAUAGUUAUUUAUGUAUUGGAAAGGCUUCUGAUAGAUAUUCAAUAGACUACUUCGACCAGCUCCGGACAUAGAGGAGCCACUUUUGUGGAUCGAAACCAUUAAGAAUCUUGGUGUAAAGUUACAGAGAUAUUCAGACACUGAUGGUUUAGACUUCUUGGGUAUAAUUUAUUCCUUUGCAAGAUAACACUUAUAAUUUAUGAAUAUCUCCAGUUCUACCUCUGUUUAUGGAUAUUGACAUUGUAUAGUAACGAGCAUAAGAGCCUUGCAUUUUCUUAUUAUUACAAUUCAGAUUCGGACAUAAGAUCUGUCGAGCAGAUAGAGAUGUAAGUAGACAUCUUAUUAAGACAUCUUAUUAACCAUAGUUGAAUUCAUAUCCCAGUGAUUAAAUGUGUCUUCGGAUAAUGAUAGAAUGGUAUGUUAACUUCAUAUGCUUAAGAUGAUGACUAGUGGAAAUGGACGAUAUUAUUUUGAGAUAAUUUCCAAUAUUUGCUAUGCAUGAUCUUUUGUACUUAUGAAACCACUGUUUAAUCCUUGAUCGCGAUAUCUGGUAUCACCUUGUUAUUGAAAACCCUUCAAAUACUUAUUUCUUAUUAAACCCUCUUUCAUUUUCAAGACCACCUAUCUUUUGCAAAUAAAUGUAAAGCCUUGGACAUGUUGAUAUACUUCCUUAAAAAAUUAUUAAACCUUAAUUUACCAUCUAACCUUUAUUUCAUAAACAAAACUCUUGUCAAACAUCUAUUAAACAAUUUUACACCACUAUAAACAGGUGCUACACUUUGCACUCUUGCAUUUCAAGUAAACCUGUACACCGUGUGAUAGUAACCAAUAUUGUUCCUCCUUUAUAGAAACAAGAUGAACUCGGAAAUUGGUAAAAAAACCAAGAACAUGAAAUUCCACAAGAGAAUAUUCCAGCCAAUCCUGAUCUGAUAUAAAUGCUCUUUGAUCUCUUACAACGACAUGCUCCAAACCUAGCAACCCAUACCAACGGAGUAUCAAUCAACCAACCACCUAAAUCAUUUGUUAUAUUAAAAAACUUUUAACUUUGUACACCCCAUGAGUUUAAAGAAACCACGGAUCCUAUUGAGGCUAGGACCUGGUUGAAAGAAAUUUAAAAAGGGAUUUUGAGAUUGUGGGAGUUGAGGAUGAUAAGGAAAACUCUGUUUGAAACAUAUAUGUUAAAUAGGGAAGCUAACUAUUGGUGGGACGCUAAAAAGGUCUAGAAGGGACUAGAGUUAUGACGUGAGAAUGCUUUACGAAAUAUUUCUUAUAGAAACAUUUUCCUAAAUACCAUGAGAAUCACGUAACUCAGAUUUUUAGAAUUCAAACAAGGGAAAGUAUUUGUGCCUGAUUAUAUAUGAAGCCAAAUUUACAUAACUUGCAAGGUUCGUACAACAUUAUGUUGAUAUUAGUAAAAAGAGAGCCCGACGUUUUCAUUUUUCAACAAGAAUUGAAACCCUGGCUCCUGAGCAGGGUAGUUGUUUUGAACGCAGAAGACUGCUAUCAUAGGAAGCGAAGUGAGCUAUACAACCGUGGAAAAAUGGAAAGAAAUGGAGGGCACCACAUCCAGAUCGUAGCCAAGGGAAGAAGAUAUUGGACUAGUAUAUAAAGAAACCUUAUGUUAAAAGGCUAUUCAACAAGGAUAGAACACUUCGAAUUAGAAAUUCUUGAAUCAGAAAUCGAGAAAGCUACGGAGGGAAUGAGAGGUCCAGUCCUCCAUAAACUACAAAUGUUCUCCAUGAAAGACCUCAUUUGCGUGAAUACAAGAAUUAUGGAAAGAAGAAUCCAACUUCGUGCUAUCAGGAGUCCACCAUUUGUUUUAUCUAUGGACAGAAAGGACGCUAUGUUUCAAAAUGUAAACAGAAAAGCUGUUACUCGCUUCAACUAUUAAAAGACGCGCCAUAUGGCCAGGGAUUGUUGAGCGCGACGCAAAGAAAACACUAUUCCAAGAUUAGCAACAUCUCUAGAAAGGAGCAAGCCAACAUCGUGCACCUUUAAUAUGACCAUGAAAGACGCCAUAGUCAACGACGACAUUAUUUCGUGUACGUUUACAGUAAAUCCUUAAGAUGCUUGUGUGCUGAUUGAUUCUGUAGCUAGCAAAUUAUGUAAAUUUUAUGCAAAAGUUGGGAAUUGUUCUGGCACCCUUAGGAGAGCCUAUGGAAAUUGAAAUCGUGAAUCAGUAAGUGAUUUCUAUGGAUCAAGUGUGUCCUAGGUUGUGAAGUAACAAAUCAGAAAGAACUUUUCAACAUAGAUUAGUUCCUUCUAAGUUAGGGGAGUUUGACAUGAUACUUAGAAUGGAAUGGUUAACGAGUUACGACGCUCAGAUUAAUUGUAGACGAAAACGUAUAAGAAGUGAUGAUGGGAAGAGAUGAUUGUAAGAAGACAAAAGCAAGAUAAGAAAUUUUUGAUCAUGACACAUGUCAAGAAAUUGCUUCGGGAAGGAUGUCAGACCUAUUUGGAGCACAUGAUAGAUCCGGAGAAAUAGAGUCCUGGAAUGGAAUAAACCUCAGUAGUAAAUGAGUAUAUAGAUGUACUUCUUGAAGAGUUACCGGGAUGCCCCAAAUAGGGAGAUUGAGUUCACUAUAAACCUUGUGCCAGGUACCGCACCUCUAUCAAAAGCUUCACCAGCAUAAAUAAUAGAGUUAGCAACACAAUUAUGGGAAUGAUUCGAAAAAGGAGUCAUUAGGCCAAGUGUAUCCUCGUGGGGAGUUGCAGUGUUGUUUGUUAAGAAAAAAGAUGGAAGUAUGAGGUUGUGUAUUGAAAUUAAGAAAUUGAAUAAGGCGACAAUUAAGAAUAAGUACCCUUACCAAUGAUUGAUGAUUUGUUUGAACAAUUGAAGGGAACAACUCAUUUUUUUUUCUAAGAUUGAUUUAAGAUCUGGAUGUCACCGAAUUAAAAAUUAAGCCUGAAGAUGUGCCUUAGAUAGCUUUUAGAACCAGGUAUGAACAUUAUGAGUUCUUAGAAAUGCAUCUAGGAUUAACCAAUAUUCAACUUUCAGCCUUUAUGGGCCUUAUGAAUAGAAUAUUCAAGAAAUAUUUGGAUAAGUUCGUGAUUGUUUUCAUUGAUGACGUUUUAAUUUACCCUAAAGACUGGAAAAGAAUAUGCAGAGUAUUUAGAAACAACAUUGGAAAUCUUGUGAAAAGAGAAGUUGUACGCAAAAUUUUCAAAAUGUGAAUUCUGGUUGGAGCAAGCACAAUUUCCGAGACACGUAGUUUCUAAAGACGGCAUAUCAUUUAGACCCCGCAAAGGUCGAAGCGGUAUAAAAUUAGGAAAGACCUAGAACUCUGAUGGAAGUUUUCUUAGACUAGUAGGAUAUUAUCAAAGAAUCGUUUAAGAUUUUCAAAGAUUACAACACCAUUGACACGGUUAGUCUAAAUGGAAGAGAAGUUUGAAUGGAUGCCAAAGCAUGAGGAAAACAUCCAAGAACUAAAGAAAAGACUCGCGAUAGCUCCUAUGUUGACUUUACCAAAUGAAAAUGGCAAUUUAUAAUCUUCAGUGAUGCUUCUCAUAAAAGUAUAGGAUGCGUAUUAAUUAAUAUAGCAUGAAAAAGAAAUUGUUUAUGCUUUAAGACAACUAAAAGAUUAUUAAUUGAGAUAUCUUAUUCCUGACUUGGGAUUAGUUGUGAUCAUAUUCGCAUUGGAGAUAUGGUGACAUUAAUUUUAGAGCGAGAAGCGUGAAACUUAUGUGAAUCAUAAGAACUUGAAGUAUUGGUUUACUCGGAAGAAAUUAAAUAUAAGGCAAACGAGAUGGUUAGAGUUGAUUAAAGAUGGUGAUUGUAUAGAUAACUGUAUAGUUAACUGUCAUCCAUGGGAGGUAAAUGUAUUUGCAGAUGCGUUAAGUAGAAAAGAAAGAGUCAAUGUGAUGUCUUCACCAAAGGAAUUGAUAAAGGAAAUGGAAAAGUUAGAAUUGGAAAUUAAGGAUUCAGAGCAUAAGGAGGGAAUGAUAUAUGAAAUGUUAGUGCAACCAGAGUUACUAGAAAGAAUCAAAAGAGUCAAGAAUUAAUGAUUGAAGAAAGACGAUCUAAAUUGACAGGCGAUGAGUACUUACAUGUUGAAGAUGAAAAGGAAAUUAAGAGAUUUUCUAAUAGGUUUAGAUUUCUACAAUAACAGAAUUUAAAAGUAAGAUUUUGAGCAAAGCACAUGACUCGAGAUAUUUCAUACACUCAGGGAGCACAAAGAUGUUUCAGGAUUUUAAAAGACACGAUUAGUGGCCAUAUAUGAAAAAAAGAAUUUGUAGAUUGGGCGAGUAAAUGUUAAAAUAAUAAAAGAUAAAAGUUAAACAUCAAAGACCCAAUGGAUUAUUACAACCUUUGGAAAUCCCGGAGUGGAAGAGGAAACAUAUUACUAACGAUUUUAUUGUAAGAUUACCACAAACUCGAACAAACCAUGACGCUAUUGGGCUAUCAUAGAUAUGCUUAUGGAAUCGACCCAUUUCUUACUAAUCAGUAAAAUAUACACAAUUGAGAAAUUAGUGAGUACGUACCCAAAAGAGAUUGUGACUCGACAUGAAGUUCCAGUGCUAAUAGUAUCGGAUAUAGAUGCAAGAUUCACUUCGAGAUUCUACCAAACUUUUAAGAAUUGUCUAAGGAUUAAGUUGAAUCUAAAUACUGCUUAUUAUCCACAAACUGACGGACAGAGUGAAAGAACGAUUCGAGCAAUUAAGGGGAUGUUAUGUUAGAUGUCAAAGGGAAGUUGGGAUUAUCAUUCGCCCUUAAGUGUGAUUCUCUUAUAAAACCAGUUAUCAUUCUAGUAUUGGGAUGACACCUUACGAAGCAAUAUGUGGUAGAAAAUAUAGUUCACCUUUUUGCUAGCAUUUGGAGAAAAGAAGAUUCUAGGACCAAAACUAGUUCACCUGACCAAACCAUCAAGUGAGAAGAUACGAAAAAGAUUAACUGUAGCUCAAGAUAGACAAAAGAAGUAUGCCGAUUUAGGAAGAAAAUUCAAGACUUUUGAAGUUGGAGAGAAAGUGUUGUUAAAAGUGUCUCCAUGGAAGGGAGUAGUAAGAAUUGCAAAGAGAAACAAGUUAAAUACUCGUUUUAUUGAACCAUUUGAGAUACUAAAGAAAGUUGGAUAUGUUUCAUAUCAACUCGCCUUACCACCUGAUCUGCAGCAUAUCCACGAUGUAUUUCAUAUACCUUUGCUAAAGGCUUAUAAAUCAGAUACACGACAUGUCUUGGACUACGAGUCGAUUCAUCUGUAAUCUAACUUGACAUACGAAGAGAAACCGGUACAGAUUGUAGACACGAAGUCCCAGGAGUUAAAGACCAAGAAGAUUAAGUUAGUCAAAGCUAUUUGGAGGAACUAAAAUGUCGAAGAAGUCAUGUGGGAACUGGAAGACGAAAUGCGAAAGAAUCAUCCCUAUCUAUUUAAUAACUCGUCAUGAUUCCGAGGUCGGAAUCCUUUAAGGGGGAGAGACUGUAACGACCCCAAAAUUUUAAAGUACACAAUUAUGUAAUCAUUUAAUUUCUUUAGUUAUCGUGCGACUAGAUUGUUUAAUUAUCUUGCAGAAUGUCGACUUCAGAUUUAUUUAUUUAUUUAUUUUUAGAUCGAUAAAUACUAAUUGAGAAUUAUUUGGUGCCAAUUUAUUAAGGAUGCAACUUAUUCGAUAAUAUUUAUUAAUGAUUGAUAUUACUAGAUUUCGUUUGAUAUGAAUAUUAUUUAGACACCAGUUUUAUUAAUUGCAUAUAAAAUAAAUAAGAAUAUUAUCAUUUGUCGGUGUGAGAAUUUAUCGGAGAAUAUUUAUUAAAUAAUUAAGUUCCGGAAUGAUCGCUUCGAUAAUAUUAAAAAUCACGAGAAUUAGUAAAUUAAACUAGCAAGUGGAUUUAAGAUUUCUUGGUGCCCAAGUAACGAAACUUGGUGCCCAAGAAACUCUACUUGGUGACCAAGUAACCAAUAGCACUAAUCUAAAAAAAAUAGAUUGGAGGUUAGUGUGGUAAUUAGUCAUAAUUACAAUUAAAAGAAUUUUUAUAAAAUCCAAGAACAAGAUUACUACAAAGAUUUUGGCUAAAAAGAGAAGAGAUAUUAGAGAUUUGUGUUGCAGAAGAAAAGAGGAGAAGAAGCUAAAUUCUUAAAAGCUUUACAAGAAUAUUUAUUCUUUGGAAAGCGAGGUCCAUUGAGACAGGAAUAUUAUUUAUCCGAGGAAGCCAGGCAAGUUCACUUGAUUCCUUCUCUUGUUGUGCCAAAUGUGUGCUAUUGAUUUAUCAAAUGUGAUUAUGCCUGAUAAUUGAUUCUGUGAUUGAAACCCGAUACUUUAUUAUAUUUGAAUAUUUCGAGAAGAUCAGGGAGAGACGGAAACUAAAAGAUUUGACAUUUGUUCAGAUUCUUAUUGAACAACCUUUCUUCGUUACCCGAGUCUAACCAUUGUUCGGAUUGACUCAUUAUUUUGUGAAACCAAAAUUUCAACGAACUUUCAAUUCUUUAACUUGUCAUACUUUUUGAAAUGAUUAUUCUACUCUGAAAUCUUUGCUUCAUUACAGAAUUCAUAUUUGAUUCCAACCUUGCUCACAUUUGAGAAGUCUAGUUCAUAUUCUCGAGUUGUUAUUACUAGAAUAACUCAAUCAAUUUUAUUUAAUCUACGAGUACUCGCCAACCUUGUGAAUUCAAUUAUCAAGAUCUCUAUCGUUGAUAUGCUCUUUCUAACGAAGAUAUAUGAUUCAGAUGUAUUUUCCUUGGAUAACCGAUUAUUCUUUCUAUACACCUUAAAGUGGAUAAAUUGCUUGAUUAUUGAUUUACUCUUCUAGUUUCUUAUUCUUGUUCAAUCUGCUAAACUUCUAUUCUUUUAUUCGAACUAUGAUUAAUCGACUUUAUACAAGGAUCGUUAACCAUGUUCGGUUCUAUGUUAUUGUUCUUUGGAUGUUGUGAUCGGAUUACUGUUUCUUCGUAAUCCGGCCGAGAGGUAUUUAAUUCUGAAUUGUGAGGAUGCAUUUAUUCGCAUUCUUGUGAGAAAGGAGAAGAUUUAUUCAAUAUGAAGUGAGCCAAUUUGUACUCGGGGAAUGAAUUUCGUAAACUGGUCAACACGGAUGAUUUGCAUUCGUGGAAGAGUGGAAAUAUCUGUUGGCCCUAUGUGUGGGACAACUUUAAGGGUUGAAAGCGAUAACCCUUAUGCUAGCAAAUAAAUGGGGGAAACUGUGUGCCACCAUUCGAAAGUCGCGAUCAGACUGUGAAGGUGACACGGGGUGGUAUCUACUUAGUGGCGGUGAUCGAGCCAUAUGGUGGAACCACCGAGGAUGGAGACCAGUAUUACUAUUAUUCUUUGAUUUUUGA